This 252-nucleotide ribosomal RNA is filed under the name uncultured bacterium. RNAcentral describes it as "partial 16S ribosomal RNA". It matches the Rfam family "Bacterial small subunit ribosomal RNA", at positions 524 to 776 of the family's 1533-position model. The record is from RNAcentral.
UACGUAGGUGGCAAGCGUUAUCCGGAUUUACUGGGUGUAAAGGGCGUGUAGGCGGGGACGCAAGUCAGAUGUGAAAACCACGGGCUCAACCUGUGGCCUGCAUUGAAACUGUGUUUCUUGAGUACUGGAGAGGCAGACGGAACUCCUAGUGUAGCGGUGAAAUGCGUAGAUAUUAGGAGGAACACCAGUGGCGAAGGCGGUCUGCUGGACAGCAACUGACGCUGAGGCGCGAAAGCGUGGGGAGCAAACAGG